Acanthosepion pharaonis is the source of this 114-nucleotide non-coding RNA. The record is from the annotation of a GenBank genome assembly. NCBI's taxonomy places the organism in Eukaryota, Metazoa, Mollusca, Cephalopoda, Sepiida, Sepiidae.
UUACGGCCAUAGAGCGUUGAAACGCCGGAUCCCGUACGAUGACCGAAGUUAAGCAACGUCGAUUCUGGUCAGUACCUAGAUGGGGGACCGCUUGGGAAUACCAGAAGCUGUAAG